RNAcentral lists this ribosomal RNA (510 nucleotides) under uncultured bacterium. RNAcentral's name for it is "partial 16S ribosomal RNA". It matches the Rfam family "Bacterial small subunit ribosomal RNA", at positions 28 to 507 of the family's 1533-position model. The record is from RNAcentral.
GACGAACGCUGGCGGCGUGCUUAACACAUGCAAGUCGAACGAAGAGCGAUGGAAGCUUGCUUCUAUCAAUCUUAGUGGCGAACGGGUGAGUAACGCGUAAUCAACCUGCCCUUCAGAGGGGGACCACAGUUGGCACUGACUGCUAAUACCGCAUACGAACUAAACCGGGCAUCGAGGAAAGAUGAAAGGAGGCCUCCAUGUAUAAGCUAUCACUGAAGGGGGGGAUUGCGUCUGCUUAGCUAGUUGGAGGGGUAACGGCCUACCAAGGCGAAGAUAAGGAGCCGGGCUGAGAGGAUGAACGGCCACAUUGGGACUGAGACACGGCCCAGACUCCUACGGGAGGCAGCAGUGGGGAAUCUUCCGAAAUGGACGAAAGUCUUACGGAGCAACGCCGGGUGGGUGAUGACGGCCUUCGGGGUGUAAAGCUCUGUUAAUCGGGACGAAAGGCCUUCUUGCGAAUAGUGAGAAGGAUUGACGGUACCGGAAUAGAAAGCCACGGCUAACUACGUG